Molecule: unclassified non-coding RNA, 262 nt
Filed under: plant metagenome
Description: partial contains small subunit ribosomal RNA, internal transcribed spacer 1, and 5.8S ribosomal RNA
Source: RNAcentral
UCUCCGUUGGUGAACCAGCGGAGGGAUCAUUACCGAGUUUACAACUCCCAAACCCCUAUGUGAACGUUACCAUACUGUUGCCUCGGCGGGAAAUUCAUGCCCCGGGCGCGUCGCAGCCCCGGACCAAGGCGCCCGCCGGAGGACCAACCAAAACUCUUUUGAAUGUCCCUCGCGGACUUUUAUAAUUCUGAACCAUCUCGGCGCCCCUAGCGGGCGUUUCGAAAAUGAAUCAAAACUUUCAACAACGGAUCUCUUGGUUCUG